This 460-nucleotide ribosomal RNA is filed under the name uncultured bacterium. Its description in RNAcentral is "partial 16S ribosomal RNA". It matches the Rfam family "Bacterial small subunit ribosomal RNA", at positions 338 to 795 of the family's 1533-position model. The record is from RNAcentral.
CCUACGGGGGGCUGCAGUGAGGAAUAUUGGUCAAUGGGCGCGAGCCUGAACCAGCCAAGUAGCUUGAAGGAUGACUGCCCUACGGGUUGUAAACUUCUUUUAUAAAGGAAUAAAGUGAGGCACGUGUGCCUUUUUGUAUGUACUUUAUGAAUAAGGAUCGGCUAACUCCGUGCCAGCAGCCGCGGUAAUACGGAGGAUCCGAGCGUUAUCUGGAUUUAUUGGGUUUAAAGGGAGCGUAGAUGGGUUGUUAAGUAAGUUGUGAAAGUUUGCGGCUUAAACGUAAAAUUGCAAUUGAUACUGGCAGUCUUGAGUACAGGUGAGGUAGGCGGAAUUCGUGGUGUAGCGGUGAAAUGCUUAGAUAUCACGAAGAACUCCGAUUGCGAAGGCAGCUUACUAAACUGCCACUGACAUUGAUGCUCGAAAGUGUGGGUAGCAAACAGGAUUAGAUACCCCUGUAGUC